CUACGGGAUGCAGCCGUGAGGAAUAUUGCACAAUGGGGGAAACCCUGAUGCAGCAACGCCGCGUGGAGGAUGACGCAUUUCGGUGUGUAAACUCCUUUUAUGAGUCAAGAAAAUGACGGUAGCUCAUGAAUAAGCACCGGCUAACUCCGUGCCAGCAGCCGCGGUAAUACGGAGGGUGCAAGCGUUACUCGGAAUCACUGGGCGUAAAGGACGCGUAGGCGGGAUGUCAAGUCAGGUGUGAAAUCCUAUGGCUCAACCAUAGAACUGCACUUGAAACUGGCAACCUAGAGUAUGGGAGGGGGAGAUGGAAUUAGUGGUGUAGGGGUAAAAUCCGUAGAUAUCACUAGGAAUACCGAAAGCGAAGGCGAUCUCCUGGAACAUUACUGACGCUAAGGCGUGAAAGCGUGGGGAGCAAACAGGAUUAGAUACCCCUGUAGUC
RNAcentral lists this ribosomal RNA (439 nucleotides) under uncultured bacterium. RNAcentral's name for it is "partial 16S ribosomal RNA". It matches the Rfam family "Bacterial small subunit ribosomal RNA", at positions 339 to 795 of the family's 1533-position model. The record is from RNAcentral.